This 1440-nucleotide ribosomal RNA is filed under the name uncultured organism. RNAcentral describes it as "16S ribosomal RNA". It matches the Rfam family "Bacterial small subunit ribosomal RNA". The record is from RNAcentral.
CAGGCUUAACACAUGCAAGUCGAGGGGCAGCAUGGUCUUAGCUUGCUAAGGCCGAUGGCGACCGGCGCACGGGUGAGUAACGCGUAUCCAACCUGCCUUACACUCUUGGACAGCCUUCUGAAAGGGAGAUUAAUACAAGAUGUUAUCAUGAGUAAGCAUUUUCGCAUGAUUAAAGGUUUACCGGUGUAAGAUGGGGAUGCGUUCCAUUAGAUAGUAGGCGGGGUAACGGUCCACCUAGUCUUCGAUGGAUAGGGGUUCUGAGAGGAAGGUCCCCCACAUUGGAACUGAGACACGGUCCAAACUCCUACGGGAGGCAGCAGUGAGGAAUAUUGGUCAAUGGACGAGAGUCUGAACCAGCCAAGUAGCGUGAAGGAUGAAGGUUCUAUGGAUUGUAAACUUCUUUUAUACGGGAAUAAACGAAUCCACGUGUGGAUUUUUGCAUGUACCGUAUGAAUAAGGAUCGGCUAACUCCGUGCCAGCAGCCGCGGUAAUACGGAGGAUCCGAGCGUUAUCCGGAUUUAUUGGGUUUAAAGGGAGCGUAGAUGGGUUGUUAAGUCAGUUGUGAAAGUUUGCGGCUCAACCGUAAAAUUGCAAUUGAUACUGGCAGUCUUGAGUACAGUUGAGGUAGGCGGAAUUCGUGGUGUAGCGGUGAAAUGCUUAGAUAUCACGAAGAACUCCGAUUGCGAAGGCAGCUUACUAACCUGUAACUGACAUUGAUGCUCGAAAGUGUGGGUAUCAAACAGGAUUAGAUACCCUGGUAGUCCACACGGUAAACGAUGAAUACUCGCUGUAGGCGAUAUACAGUCUGCGGCCAAGCGAAAGCAUUAAGUAUUCCACCUGGGGAGUACGCCGGCAACGGUGAAACUCAAAGGAAUUGACGGGGGCCCGCACAAGCGGAGGAACAUGUGGUUUAAUUCGAUGAUACGCGAGGAACCUUACCCGGGCUUAAAUUGCAACCGAAUAUGGCGGAAACGCUAUAGCUAGCAAUAGCGGUUGUGAAGGUGCUGCAUGGUUGUCGUCAGCUCGUGCCGUGAGGUGUCGGCUUAAGUGCCAUAACGAGCGCAACCCUUGCCGAUAGUUACUAACAGGUCAUGCUGAGGACUCUGUCGGGACUGCCAUCGUAAGAUGUGAGGAAGGUGGGGAUGACGUCAAAUCAGCACGGCCCUUACGUCCGGGGCUACACACGUGUUACAAUGGGGGGUACAGAGGGCUGCUACCACGCAAGUGGAUGCCAAUCCCAAAAACCUCUCUCAGUUCGGAUUGAAGUCUGCAACCCGACUUCAUGAAGCUGGAUUCGCUAGUAAUCGCGCAUCAGCCACGGCGCGGUGAAUACGUUCCCGGGCCUUGUACACACCGCCCGUCAAGCCAUGGGAGCCGGGGGUACCUGAAGUGCGUAACCGCAAGGAGCGCCCUAGGGUAAAACUGGUGACUGGGGCUAAG